RNAcentral lists this long non-coding RNA (5193 nucleotides) under Triticum aestivum (bread wheat). Its description in RNAcentral is "long non-coding RNA (TAES_LNC005960)". Lineage: Eukaryota; Viridiplantae; Streptophyta; Magnoliopsida; Poales; Poaceae. The record is from RNAcentral.
ACAUGAUGGAUGCAUUUACAGCAGUUCCUGAUCCAUAUGAUCGUGUCUACGAGAAUAUACCUGUAAGUACUCACACGCUGGCACCUAAACCUGAUUGCAAGCAUUGUGGUGCAAAGAGGUUCCAGUAUGAGACAAAUGGAUUUUGUUGCCGGUCUGGAAAAGUUAAGUUGGCACACUUAGAACCACCCUUGGAACUUAAAAUGCUAUACACAAGUUCAGAUCCCAAUGCCGUGCAUUUUAGGGAUAACAUUCGAUACUUCAAUGGACACUUUUCAUUCACUACCCUUGGAGUCAGUCUGGACAACAGAUACACAAACAUGAAGUCAGGAGUCUAUAUGUUUCGAGCUCACGGUCAGAUUUACCACAACAUCUUCUCAUUUGGUCCAACUCAAGAUGGGCCAAAGCAUUUGGAACUCUACUUCUAUGAUGACGAUCCCGGUUUACAACAUAGGUUUCAGUGCUCCCCGAACCUAGACCGAGAUGUCAUUCAAAGGCUUGUUGACAUCCUGAAGGAUAAUCCUUAUUCUGAAACGUUCAGGAAUCUAGGUGGAGUCGAUGACCUUGAGGAAUACCGUAUUGAACUGAACACCGACAUGAGGUUGGACCAACGGAGGUAUAAUGUGCCUAUAUCAUCAGAGGUUGCAGCUAUUUGGGUUGAGGGUAGUGAACUCUGUAAGUACUUUGAGCGUAGCAUAGUAUUGUUCGGCAACGACAACAAGAGAUAUAGCAUCCAACCAUAUUAUGGAUGUUAUGAUACGUUGUCUUACCCUUUAUUCUUCCCAAGAGGGGAGAUUGGUUGGCAUCCUGAAAUCCCAAAGAAUGGUGUCAGCUUGAAUGAGAUGCUUCAGUCCCGUCGCAGUGGUCGACAGAGUCUAGGUAAUUCAUAUAACGAAAAUAACAUGUGUUAAUGUUGUUUAUCCUCAUUGUACUCACUUUUCCUGAUUCCCAAUAUUGUCCUUUUGUUAUCUCUCAUUUUAUAGGUUCAUAUAAAAAUAGUCGAUUAUGCGUAUCCAUUAGAGACUACUAUUGCUACAAGUUUCAAAUGCAUCGUGGUGUAUUUAACACCAUGCUAUACGGUAAAGGACUAUUCCAACAAUAUGUGGUUGAUAUGUACAUCAAGGUUGAAAGCUCAAGAUUGGACUAUAUAAAAAACACUAGAAACAAAUACGUGCUGAUCUAUGCCAAGGUGUUGUCGAUAGCCUUCAAGCUGGGGAAAACCAUGCGGAUGAAGUGGGCAAAUGGACUAUAGUUCCUUCAUCAUUUAUUGGGGGAAGAAGAGAUAGGAGACGAAGAUACCUUGAUGCCAUGACCUUGGUGCAAAAGUAUGUAAACCCUGUAUGUGUUUGUUUUUUUAUAUAAUAAAAUGUUGUGGGGUGUAAGCCCUGCAGUCUUCAUGGUCAAAAAAAAGUAUGGGAAGCCAGAUAUUUUUUUAACCAUGACUUGCAACCCUAAUUGGGAUGAAAUAAUUAGUGAGCUAGAGCCUGGAUAAACCCCACAGGAUCGUCCUAAUCUUAUUGUACGAGUAUUUCGAGCAAAGUUGGAAGACCUCAAGAUACAACUUUUUAAAAGGCACAUUCUUGGUAAGGUAGCAGCAUAUGUGUAUGUAGUUGAGUUCCAGAAAAGAGGUCUACCACAUGCUCAUUUCCUCCUAAUCAUGGAGGGGAGGUACAAGCUAACAUGCUCAGAGCAAUAUGACUGUCUCAUAUCUGCUGAAUUGCCAGACAAAUCCAAGUAUCCUGAGUUGUACAAAAUGGUCGUGAAGCACAUGAUGCAUGGUCCGUGUGGAGUCCUAAACCCCAAGAACGUGUGCAUGCAGAAAGGUAGUUGCAAGAACUAUUAUCCACGACCAUUUAAUGUGUCAACCCUUCAGGGAAAGGACUCAUAUCCCAUAUAUAGGAGGAGAGAUGAUGGACGCCGUGCAAAGGUACGUGGCCAAGAGUUAGACAAUAGGUGGGUUGUUCCAUAUAAUCCUUACCUACUAAGAAGGUAUAAUUGCCACAUCAAUGUCGAGGUUUGCUCAAGCAUAAAAGCUGUAAAGUACCUCUUUAAAUACAUAUAUAAGGGGCAUGAUCGAGCAUCUGUUUCUAUCGAUGAGGUGGAUAGUGAUAGGAACAUUGAUGAGAUAAAGCAAUACCGAGAUUCCAGGUGGGUUACUCCACCAGAAGCAUUAUGGAGGAUAUAUGGUUUUGACCUUAGUCAGAUAUUUCCAUCUGUUAGACAACUCCAACUCCACCUCCCUAAUAUGCACAUGGUGUCGUUUCCAGCGGGUGCAAAUCUGAAUGAUGUCCUCUCUCAAGAAGGAGCUUCCAAGACCAUGCUAACUGAGUAUUUUGAGGCAAACAAGAAAUAUGAGUUGGCUCGAGGAAUUUUAUAUAAGGAUUUCCCAUCUUAUUUUGUUUGGAUGUCAGGUGGAAAGUAUUGGAAAAGGAGGGAUGAACGCACACAGAUUGGGAGAAUUGUGUCUGCACAUCCAGCUGAAGGGGAGAGGUAUUAUCUUAGAGUGCUUCUAAACCAUGUCACGGGUUCUACAUCCUUCCAAGACCUUAGAACAAUGGAUCGUAUUGUUUACUCGACAUUCCAUGAAGCUGCUGAAAGGAGGGGUGUUAUCGAGUCAGAUAAUACUAUCAACGAGUGUCUUGAUGAGGCUAAGGUUUUUUAUAUGCCAUCUUCCCUUCAGAGGCUAUUUGCCACUAUAUUGGUCUUUUGUGAACCCAGCAAUGUGCGUGGCCUAUGGGACAGACACAUGGAAGCUAUGACAGAAGACUAUCGACUAACACAAAUGUGCCCCCAUGCAGUUGAGCAGAUGGCAUUAUUAGAUAUAAAGAAUAUGCUUGAAUCGAUGGGUAAGGACAUAUCAUCAUUCCCUCUCCCAGAAAUUGACAAGUCAUAUGAUGCCUCGGAUAAUGAGUCUAGGGAGAUCAUAGAGGAGUCCAAGAUAGAGGUGGACCCAGAACACCUUGGCUUGUCAUCUUUCCUAAACCCAGAACAGAGAUAUGCAUAUGAUGAGAUACUUGCGACCAUCAAUAGUGGCCAAGGAGGUGUGUUCUUUGUUGAUGGACCCAGAGGCACGGGAAAUACUUAUCUGUACAAAGCACUACUUGCAAAAGUACGUGCCGAGGGUAAAAUAGCUAUUGCAACAGCGACAUCAGGCGUUGCUGCAUCCAUCUUCCCUGGAGGGAGGAUUGCACACUCAAGGUUUAAAAUACCAUUGAACACCGAAGACGGUGGGGUCUGCAGUUUCACCAAGCAAAGUGGGACAACUAAGCUUCUUAUGAGGGCGUCCUUCAUAAUUUGGGACGAGGCCUCCAUGACAAAGCGGCAGGCGGUCGAGGCCCUUGACAAUAGCAUGAGGGACAUCAUGGCUCGACCUGACCUGCCGUUUGGUGGAAAGACAAUUGUGUUUGGGGGAGACUUCAGACAAGUGCUUCCUGUUGUUCGUAAGGGAACAAGGUCCCAAAUAACUGACGUGACGCUGCGUAAGUCUUACCUUUGGGAGAAUAUGAGACAACUAAGACUUGUUCGUAAUAUGAGGGCUCAGAGCAAUCCAUGGUUUGUUGAUUACCUUCUUCAUGUUGGGAAUGGCACUGAAGAUACCGUGGAUGAUGAUUACAUACGGCUUCCAGAUGAGAUUUGUGUACCAUACACCAGCGACGCCACUGAUAUUGAUAAGCUUAUUGAAAGUGUUUUCCAGAUGACCCUAAAAGAAAACCUCUUGGAUCGAAAUUACAUAACGUCCCGAGAAAUUUUGUCAACUCGGAAUGAGUACGUUGACAAGAUUAACAUGAAAAUGAUUGAGAGGUUUCCUGGGGAGGAAAUGAUAUACUAUAGUUUUGAUCACGCGGAGGAUGAUCCACACAACUACUACCCUGCAGAAUUCUUGAAUUCAUUAACACCUAAUGGGCUACCUCCCCAUAUCCUAAAGCUAAAAAUUAAUUGCCCUAUUAUAUUGUUACGCAACAUUGACCCAGCGAGUGGUUUGUGCAAUGGGACGAGGUUGAUUGUCCGAGGAUUCAUGAGGAAUGCAAUAGAUGCUGAGAUUGUGUUGGGCCAGCAUGCUGGCAAGAGGGUGUUCCUUCCUCAAAUUCCUCUUUGCCCAUUAGACGAUGAGAUGUUUCCAUUUAGGUUCAAGAGGAAGCAGUUUCCAGUUAGACUUAGCUUUGCUAUGACCAUUAACAAGGCACAAGGACAAACUAUACCAAAUGUUGUAUACCUCCCUGAACCGGUAUUUUCACACGGGCAGCUCUAUGUUGCUCUUUCUAGAGCUACAUCUAGAAGUAAUAUGAAGAUUCUUACUGUACCGGGUAAAAAAAAGGAAGUCCAGUCCAACUCCACUGCAAAUAUUACAAAGAACAUAGUCUACAAAGAAGUUCUCAGCAUGUAGUCCAAGGUAUAAAUCACUCAAGUACAAUUUGGUUGCCGUAAAAAUUAUAUCUAUCUAACUAGGGUCAUGUGGAGGAUUUACGGAAAGACAACUUAGAUACUUGCUUUAGUGUUCAUGAUUUUUUGUAACAACAAUUAUAUGUGUGUUUGAAUUGUUUUUAGUAGUUUCCUUUGUUACUCCCAUUGUUAAAAAUAAUAAUAAUAAUUCAAACAAUGCCGACAGCAGGUUGCUUUGUCAUCAACGCAUUUCAUUUGGUUGGUAGCUCCACAUCCAAUUUUCAGGGCACACCCUGAAUAUUUGUUUCCUUUCUGUCUGUUAUUGGCAUUUUGUUUUUCUUCGCAGAAACCUGGUUGAUGUGACAAAGUUACAAGUAGUCCAAUACUAAUAUUUUUGUAUCUACAUGCAUGUGGACUCACCCCUUCUAAAUACAUAUGAUUCAAAAACAUCUUUUACUUAACAAUUUGUUUCUUUGCUUCCGUACAAAAUGUACAAGUGUUGUUCAAUGUUUUUUCCUUUGCCUAAAUAUACUACAGAGUACAUACCCUCUACAAGCUCCUUGUUUUUUCGUUUGUCUAAAUAUACUACAGACCAUUAUAUAUAUAUAUAUAUGCAGUACUGAUUACCUUAUUUCAUUUUAGGUGAGAAGAUGGAUGAAGCCAGAGCUCGAGGGCCAACAUUGUUAGCAUAGAUGGUUUUGAGCAAACGACUAAAAGAAGGUCCUGGGGAUCCAAACAAUGUAGUUUUGUGUGUUUGUCAGUUCCUAACAUCUUGAGCAACCUUGCAGAAAGGAGCUCUUUGAGGACUGUUGUGAC